This 1041-nucleotide ribosomal RNA is filed under the name Hypochilus thorelli. RNAcentral's name for it is "16S ribosomal RNA". The stretch from base 702 to 994 matches the Rfam family "Archaeal large subunit ribosomal RNA", at positions 2151 to 2715 of the family's 2987-position model. The record is from RNAcentral. Lineage: Eukaryota; Metazoa; Arthropoda; Arachnida; Araneae; Hypochilidae.
UUAAGCCCAUUUAAUUAAAACAAUAAUCACACAUUAACUAUCACAACUCCAUUUUAGAACUGAAAAGGAACACUAAAAAUCCAAAAUGAAAUUUUACCUCGUGUAUCAGGGAUAAUCUAAUAUUAGUUAAAUAAAAAUCUCCCGAAAUUCUGAGAUCUAUUUUUUUUUAAUGAUAAUUGUGUCAAAAAUAUAUAAAAUAAUAAUAGAAGCGAAACACUUUUCGAGCAGGAUGAUAUCUGGUUUCUAAAACUAGAGAAAACUCUAAAAUUGUUAAAAAGAUAAUUUUUAAUACUUUUAUGCGAAACAAAUAAUUAACCACAAGAAUUUAUAGUAUUCAACUUGUAUAAAAACUAAAAUUUCAGUACCUUAAAUAAAAAUUUUAGACAAUUCUAACAAAAUAAAUAAUGAUUAUAUUAGUAGAAAAUAAAUAAUAACAUCAUUUAGAAUAAUAAAUAAUAUAACCUAACAAAUAUUAAAAUUACUAAAAAUAUUAUCGACAGUUUAACAAAAACAAUUUUUAUUGAUUAAUAAUAAAUAUCUCCUGCUCAAUGAACUAAAUAGCCGUAGAAUUUUAACUAUGCUAAGGUAGCAUAAUAAAUUGCCUUUUAAUUUAAGGAUAGAAUGAAUGGAUAAACGAAUGAUACUUAAUUUUUACUAUUACUUUUUAAUUUACUAAUUGCGUUAAAACCCUCAUAAAAAAUAGAAAGACGAUAAGACCCUAUUGAACUUAACUGAUGUUAAACUGGGGCGGUUAAUUAAAAAAAAUCUUAAUUAGAACAAACCAUUAAAACAAUAAAUUAAUUUAAAACAAGUUACCAUAGGGAUAACAGCGUAAUAAUUUUCUAAAGCUCUUAUAAAAAAAAUUAUUUGCGACCUCGAUGUUGAAUUAACUACCUCUUAAAAGUAAAAAUUUAAAAAGUAAGACUGUUCGUCUAUUGAAAAGUUACAUGAUUUGAGUUCAGACCGGCGCAAGCCAGGUCGGUUUCUAUCUUCUUUUAUUUAAUAGCAGUACGAAAGGACAUUGUUAAAGGUUUUAAACCU